GGAGCAUCAUUGAGUUGAAUCAACACAUUGGAUUAAGAGUAACCAUUCAAUUCACUUUUAAUACCACAUGUUCACCCAAAACCUUAAGGCAAAUACCACUAUUGUGCCGUGAGGGGAAGCCUCACUGGUUUGGAUCAAUACAUUAGGCUAAGAACAAUCACACAAGUGACUUUUAACACCAUAUUCACCUAAAAUCUUAAGGCAUUAAAUUUACGUCUCCUUUCAUUUAUAUGUUGCGCAACCAAUGUAAGACUUUUAACUCGU
This 264-nucleotide long non-coding RNA is filed under the name Trifolium pratense (red clover). RNAcentral's name for it is "long non-coding RNA (TPRA_LNC009566)". Lineage: Eukaryota; Viridiplantae; Streptophyta; Magnoliopsida; Fabales; Fabaceae. The record is from RNAcentral.